RNAcentral lists this ribosomal RNA (245 nucleotides) under uncultured bacterium. RNAcentral describes it as "partial 16S ribosomal RNA". It matches the Rfam family "Bacterial small subunit ribosomal RNA", at positions 796 to 1041 of the family's 1533-position model. The record is from RNAcentral.
CACGCCGUAAACGAUGGGUACUAGGUGUGGGAGGUAUCGACUCCUUCCGUGCCGCCGUUAACACAAUAAGUACCCCGCCUGGGGAGUACGGUCGCAAGAUUAAAACUCAAAGGAAUUGACGGGGGCCCGCACAAGCAGCGGAGCAUGUGGUUUAAUUCGAAGCAACGCGAAGAACCUUACCUAGACUUGACAUCUCCUGAAUUACCCUUAAUCGGGGAAGCCCUUCGGGGCAGGAAGACAGGUGG